This 460-nucleotide ribosomal RNA is filed under the name uncultured bacterium. RNAcentral's name for it is "partial 16S ribosomal RNA". It matches the Rfam family "Bacterial small subunit ribosomal RNA", at positions 338 to 795 of the family's 1533-position model. The record is from RNAcentral.
CCUACGGGGGGCAGCAGUGAGGAAUAUUGGUCAAUGGACGAGAGUCUGAACCAGCCAAGUAGCGUGAAGGAUGACUGCCCUAUGGGUUGUAAACUUCUUUUAUAGAGGAAUAAAACGAGGCACGUGUGCCUUUUUGCAUGUACUUUAUGAAUAAGGAUCGGCUAACUCCGUGCCAGCAGCCGCGGUAAUACGGAGGAUCCGAGCGUUAUCCGGAUUUAUUGGGUUUAAAGGGAGCGUAGAUGGGUUGUUAAGUCAGUUGUGAAAGUUUGCGGCUCAACCGUAAAAUUGCAAUUGAUACUGGCAGUCUUGAGUGCAGGUGAGGUAGGCGGAAUUCGUGGUGUAGCGGUGAAAUGCGUAGAGAUCACGAAGAACCCCGAUUGCGAAGGCAGCUUACUAAACUGUGACUGACAUUGAGGCUCGAAAGUGUGGGUAGCAAACAGGAUUAGAUACCCGAGUAGUC